AGGAGCUUGACGCCUGAUGGUGGAGAUGGGGUGGAGGAGGGUCGAAGCUCAGCUGAAGAGCAGGAGAUUCUGCGUAUGAAGGUCUUUUAAGGUGAAGCCUUGAGGGAUGAUUGGCUGAAGAGGAAUGCGGACUAGAAACUGAUUGGUUGGAACGGAGAACGUAGUGGAGUAGUUAGACAGAGCCGUAGUAGCGGUGAGUCUUCCAAAUUGAAUUUUCGUCUAAGCUUCAUAUCAAUUAAGCGCUUAAGUGUGUGUUACUUUUCUUUUAAUGUAGAUUUAGAUAAGUAGACUAUCAUGAAGAGGCUUAAUUCAGAACUGAAAAGCUGAAUUUUGCACAACGAAAGGACUGGAUUUUGUAACCAUUUUUUCAACUCAAGAGAGAAACAGCACAGAAGAAAAAUCUGAUUUCUGUUGUUUUUGUGAACCUUCAACAUCCCCAGCCAUGUGAGGGAGAACAACAUCCUUUACUGAUAACUCUUUCACUUCUUUUUCCGAAUUGUUUUUUAAGGUUCAAGGCAAUAUUAUUGAAAAUCAAAGCGAUCUUCUGGUCAGAACAUUAAAAAGUAUUCAUUUUUCUUUUUUGGGUGUUAUUUCGAACGUCUUUCAUUUCUUCGGAAGGAAAAAAAAUCUGAGGUAGAAAAAUUAUAUCUGAAGGUUGAGAAAAGUAAAUCAGAUGUAAGAUGGAUUCAAAAAUCAUUUUUUCAGAAAGGUUUUUGUGUGUUGGAAUUUUGUAAUAAUGAACAAAUCCAAACAAAUUCAAAGCUGAAUUCUGGUUAAACAGCCUACAAACGGUUGAAUUUGUUUGGCCAAAGUAAUAUCUGAUCAUUCAUCCUUAACAACACGGGCUAGUGAUGAAAACAUUUUUUAAGCAGUUGUUUAAAUUAGUGAAUAUGGUCCUUUCUGCGUUGCUGUUUCUGAAGCUUCUCUAUUUAGCUUUAUUUGUGGUUUCCUUUUGAACAUACUGAGUAAAACUGACAGUGCUGUCAUCAGAAGGUUGACCUCAACUAGAGAAGAAGACCACAGAGUGGUAACAGACGUACUAAAUUCAUUGUCUCUCUUUGUUAAUUUGUAAAAUAACUCCAUUCGGACCAAAUGCUUUAAAAAACAAACAUUGUCAGCUUUGUUUACUUCAUCUAGAUACUGUACCUAAUGGAUUUAGAUGAAACAUGUCUUAACUUUACAUAUUUUAUUUACCUUUAUUUAACCUUUAAUUUACCAGGAGAAUUCCAUUAAGAUUUAAAAUCUAUUUUGCAGGAGAUGUUCAGAAAGUGAUAGUUUCAUAAAAACAGAAAUAGGCAACAGAAGAAUCUACAUAGUGCAUUAAUUAAAAUCAAAUUGGUUAAAUUUAAAACAUAUCUUUGCCUGAUCAACUGUAUAUCAAUCAUGUAAAACACUUUCAUGUUAAACAAUGCAUGGCUCAUUGAUUAUGUUUGAUUGCAUCUGUUGCUGCCUUUAACUAUGAAAUAAUUUUUUACCAUUUAUAUUGUUUUUCUUGUCAGUAGUGAAGUAGGUAGUAAAUCAGAAUAUCACCAAAGUUUCAUUUCUUUCUGUCUUUUAUUUUAAAGAACAUUUUCCAUUAUUGUGUUUGAAGACUCCUUUUCUCUUCUGCAUUCGUGUAUUUGCAUUUUUUUCCACUUGUUUUGCUUUUACAUAGAAAGUACCCCUGACUCCAUGCUGUGGUGCUGCUUUGUUGUCUCCAUCUUUUUCUGUCUUCUCAGCCCCAAACCAGUCAAGAAACACGGUCCACAUGUAUUCCUGUUUGAAUGUCGUUCCUUCUCACUGUGGGCCAUAUGAUUGUUCACGAUGAAAGUCUGUGAUGAAGAUUUGAUGCAAUGGCUGCCAGGUUCACUGUUCACUGUGGAACAUCAAUGGAAGCUCAGGGCAGCUUCUCCUGAACUGUCUUCUUGAAAUCAGGAUAUGAAUGCUGCUGAAUUUCCUGACUUUAAAUGAGAUCAAGACUGAAGUCAUGCUGUUUAGACUAAAUGGACUUAGCAGGACUUUAUGUAUCAAUCAAAACAAAUUAAUUUGAUUUACAAAGCACUUUUAAAACGACAGUCAGCCAAAACGCUGUAAAUAAAUGUCUCAAAAACAAUUAAAGGGAAAAACAUAAAAACAGAAUUAGAAAUGUUAAUUUAAGCCAAGACAAUGAUUUAUCUUUCUUCUCCAGAAGAAAAACAUCAGACAGUUCCAAGCACUCGGUGGAAACUCAGAAGUGCUGCUGCUCCCAAACUGUGAAAUGCUUUUCCAUUACCAGUCAGGCAGAUACCUUCACCUGCUAAAUUGACAUCUGGGUUAAAAACACAGCUUUACUCUCUGGUCUUUGACCCAGUAUGAAAUGACUAAAUGUUAUUUUACUCUUUGUUCUGCUUGUACUAUUUUCCAUCCAUUGCCUAUACCUGCUUAUCCUUGCAUGGUACCAGGGAAGCUGGUGCUGGUUUUUGUGUGUAGUUUUGUGUCCAGCUCUCUGAUGUUGAUGAAUAAAUUGGUAUGUUGCGUUAAAGGUUUCUCUCUUUAUAAUUGUUGGUGUUUCAGGAUCUAUUGAAUCUGACUGUGUUGUAUUAUCAUCAGACUGAACUGAACUCUUGCUGACCAAGCUGUGUUUUGGUUGAAUUGGCAUGUAUUAAACUUAACUGGCCGUGGAUUUUGUAUAAAAUGGCACAUGAACUGGAUCUGGAUCGAGAUUAUUUUCUUGGUAUUGCCUCGGUAUAAGUAAUCUAAACUUGACUAAUUAUUAAUGUUGUCAAAUUUUUGCUGUAAAGUUGCUGGAUUGUGUUGAUCUAUCUGGCCUUGUACAGCUUUCAUGAGAAUAGAAAGAAAAGGAAGCAUGUCUUGAAAGGAUGGAAUGACUCUUUCCUUCUGUAGCACCGUUUCUGUGCUGGUUUAUAUUUGCAUUUCUUUGUUUUCUUGGACACAACCUUUGCUUGUGUUGUAAUAACUCUCAUGUUUGCUGCUAUAUAGUAUUUAUGGUUGUAAUGUGGUGUCUUUAAAGUAGUGGAGUUCAUGAUUAGUCCGUUUUCCAAAACGUUGUUUGCUGCUCUGUUGUUUUGUAUAUUUUUUCUCUUUAUAAAAAGUUAUUUCUUUUAGGACUAAACCUGUGGUUUAACAUCAGCGUGACAAAUAUAUUGAAUAAAUUAGAAUAUGACUGAUAUGA
This is a long non-coding RNA of Girardinichthys multiradiatus, 3151 nucleotides long. RefSeq lists it as uncharacterized. NCBI's taxonomy places the organism in Eukaryota, Metazoa, Chordata, Actinopteri, Cyprinodontiformes, Goodeidae. The transcript has 2 exons. The record is from RefSeq and is a predicted model, not a curated record.